AAUUUUAUGCAAUGAACUUAAAAUUCAUUUAUAAAGAUUAAUCUUUUUUUAGAA
Molecule: transfer RNA, 54 nt
Filed under: Tuberculatus sp. 19 XY-2019
Lineage: Eukaryota; Metazoa; Arthropoda; Insecta; Hemiptera; Aphididae
Description: partial tRNA-Leu
Source: RNAcentral